UGUUGAGCAAUACGACUUGGGUUUGCUUGAAAGACGGUAGUGGUAAGGCGGGAUCGCUUUGACAAUGGCUUAGGUCUAACCAAAAACAUUGCUUGCGGCGGUAACGUCCACCACGUAUAUCUUCAAACUUUGACCUCAAAUCAGGUAGGACUACCCGCUGAACUUAAGCAUAUCAAUAAGCGGAGGAAAAGAAACCAACAGGGAUUGCCUCAGUAGCGGCGAGUGAAGCGGCAAAAGCUCAAAUUUGAAAUCUGGCGUCUUUGGCGUCCGAGUUGUAAUUUGAAGAAGGUAUCUUUGGGCCCGGCUCUUGUCUAUGUUCCUUGGAACAGGACGUCACAGAGGGUGAGAAUCCCGUGCGAUGAGAUGACCCGGGUCUGUGUAAAGUUCCUUCGACGAGUCGAGUUGUUUGGGAAUGCAGCUCUAAGUGGGUGGUAAAUUCCAUCUAAAGCUAAAUAUUGGCGAGAGACCGAUAGCGAACAAGUACAGUGAUGGAAAGAUGAAAAGAACUUUGAAAAGAGAGUGAAAAAGUACGUGAAAUUGUUGAAAGGGAAGGGCUUGAGAUCAGACUUGGUAUUUUGCAUGCUGCUCUCUCGGGGGCGGCCGCUGCGGUUUACCGGGCCAGCAUCGGUUUGGAGCGGCAGGAUAAUGGCGGAGGAAUGUGGCACGGCUUCUGCUGUGUGUUAUAGCCUCUGACGAUACUGCCAGCCUAGACCGAGGACUGCGGUUUUUAACCUAGGAUGUUGGCAUAAUGAUCUUAAGUCGCCCGUCUUGAAACACGGACCAAGGAGUCUAACGUCUAUGCGAGUGUUUGGGUGU
RNAcentral lists this ribosomal RNA (816 nucleotides) under Candida albicans. Its description in RNAcentral is "LSU rRNA". The stretch from base 131 to 816 matches the Rfam family "Eukaryotic large subunit ribosomal RNA", at positions 1 to 701 of the family's 3401-position model. The record is from RNAcentral. Lineage: Eukaryota; Fungi; Ascomycota; Pichiomycetes; Serinales; Debaryomycetaceae.